This 2447-nucleotide non-coding RNA is filed under the name Pan troglodytes (chimpanzee). Lineage: Eukaryota; Metazoa; Chordata; Mammalia; Primates; Hominidae. The record is from RNAcentral.
GGAGUUUUUAGCCUUUUAACAUUCAAGGAUUAGGUAAGUUCUUCCCGCGGUAGACUUCAAAUACUCUUUGUCCUGCCCCUGCUUGGCGAAAUUUACCGAAAUUAUCUACCUAUCCCGCUGGAGUGGGAGCCGGGGGAGAGCUGGAACCGCGUCUCUGCUGCUCACCUUUGUGUCCUUAGCUCCUUCGCAUGGGGUCCGACCGCAACACGUGCGCUGGAUAAACGCUUGUUAACUGGAGCUCCCUCUUUGCCCACUAGCAGGGCAUUAGCUGGUGCUGAAGACAGUGGCUGCUUGGCGAGCCUGGAUCUCCAAGUGACUCCAAGUGACCCCCUCAGCAACUCCUGAUGAACAGGACUGAAGCCAAUAUUAAAGCAAGUCAACCAAAGAUUCUCUGGUGUAGACAAGACAGCAAAAGGACAGACUACCUUGUGGAACCUAGCAUUGUUCUCCUUCUGCAGCACUAAGUAACAUUUGUGCUCCGUUAAGAUCUUUGCAAACCACACACAAGAAUUGCUGGUCAUCCUGCCAAUAGAUGCUGCUCACAGAACCAAAUUUCCUGUGCUGAAUUGUCACUCAUGGGCUUGAGAGUAGGAGACUGGAGACCAAGGUGGCUAGAAUCCAGUUGGGCCUGAUGUCUCCCUGUUGAAAGGGCUCCUUGUGGAAUAAACAGCACAUGGCUCCCGUGGUGGAUCUGAUAGUGGCACAGCACCAAGUGAUGCAGGCCUGCCAGGGGCCACAGACACAGAAGAUGCUCCCAGGGUCCCCCGUGUACUCCAGACACACUGCAGGCCACCUCUCCCAGCAGGUUGCCAGUCAUGGGCCCCAUCAUCAUGACUUCUGUCCAAGGUACUGUGUGCAGAAAUGUGAUUGAGAUUCAAGUCAGGGCCUCUCUGCCCUUUUCCCUCCAGAAACAAAACCAAGAUAAUUUAUCCUGAACACGGUGAAAAAAGGAAGGGAGGGAGGAGAAAAAGUCCGGGUCUCACCUGGGAUUCUCUGUCUCCUGCAACAUGAAGGAUUUAGCCUGGGAGGAGGUGGUGAGAACUCUGGGAGAGAAAAAAGAAGGAAAGAAUAGUUUUACCCAUGCUGAAGUUAAUUUAAACCUUCACCUAGAGAAGCAAAAAAACCCCCACACUUUUCCAUUUUGUGCCUCCCUUCCUAGAGUUUUAGCCAAAGGUUUAGCUAAGUAAUUGGUUUUACCAGGGCACUCACUCUUCCUAUCCCGAGUCUGUUUGACUCCCUCCCCAUCAUCCUCCUCACCUCUUUUCAGGCAGGGUGGGGAUAGCAGCAGGAGGAGAUUUUGGGAGCCUGGCAACUCCUGCAAGGACCGCAGGACAGCCCCUCUGUGGGGAUGCGUGGUGCCCCAUCUGCCGCCCUUCUGAAGAAUGCACUGCCUUCACUUUUUACUGUGUUAGAGUCCAUCCAGACUGUUCUAUCCAAAAAAGAGUUUCUUUUUCCCCCACAGGCAAUCAGGAAAUGAUUCCUUUCCCAACUGCUUCUGUCUAGUGCCUGGGAAUCUUGAGUCAAUCCCUCAGUAAGUCAGUGACUAUAGAAAUCCCUCUCUGAGCCUCCCAGUUCAUGUUGCUUAGGGAACCUGAUAUUUUCAUGAAACCUGCCUACACAUGGGCAGCCCAACAGCAGAACAAAUGGUGGUGACCAAAGUGAACAAAGAAGUAUAGUUGUGCCAGCUUCGUAGUUGCCCAUGUGGACAAGUCAGCAGGAUCAGGACACGAGGAAGAGUAAAUGUGAGACAGUCAAUGUGACUUCUGCGAUAAACAGAUUUUUAAACCCCGAAAUUUUGCAAAAUUUUGGUGAAACCUGAACUUUCUUCGUUGCAUAUACUGGCACUAUCUGUACCAUCAUACAACUGUCUCACAUUAAAGCUAUUUUUCUUGGGCACUGAUGAGCAAGGUUGGUAUGUUUGAGUUCCUCAGAUCAACAAAAACCCAUUUUCCUAUAAGUCUUACAUUUAGUAUUUAAGGAACUAAAACUUAAAUACAUUUUGUGAAAUGGUUGACACUUCACUGAUAAUGAUUUAUUGCUUGGAUUAAUAAAUUUUCCAAAAGUUGUCUUAUUAUGUAGAAUAUGGUUUGCAACCAGCAGAACCAUUAAUCUAUACUGCAAUGAUAUGCACUAUGUAUAAUUGUUUAAAAGCCUCUACUUAAUGAUGUAAAAUGCUCUAUUUAAUUACACAUUUGGGUAAACUGUAUACUAACAUCUGAUGGCAUUUUUCCACUGUUUGUUGCUUUUUUCAAAUACUUUAUUGUACAAAGCUGUUCUUAAUAUUGUUCAAGUUUUUUUUCUUUGAAUUUUGCUAAUGUUUUCCUUGAAUUAUGAGCACUGACAGAAUGUGCUUAGCACUUUUGGCUAUUCACACAGCUUUUGAGCAUGAUUUGCAUCCAAUAUUUACAUUGCUAGCAAUAAUAAGCCAUCUGUGAGUUUUGUCAAAA